Cloacibacterium normanense is the source of this 400-nucleotide non-coding RNA. It matches the Rfam family "transfer-messenger RNA". Rfam says of the family: Bacterial tmRNA, also known as 10Sa RNA or SsrA, is named for its dual tRNA and mRNA-like properties. Its role is to liberate the mRNA from a stalled ribosome. Lineage: Bacteria; Pseudomonadati; Bacteroidota; Flavobacteriia; Flavobacteriales; Weeksellaceae. The record is from Rfam.
GGGGUUGACUGGUUUCGACAGCAAGACCAAUGGGUAAGUAAGCAUGCAGAGAACCGUAGCGCGAUCUCUUUAAUCCCUUGCUACAGAAUUUAACUGGCAACGAAGAGUUUGCUCUUGCUGCUUAAUCCGAAGCUUAGUAGGAUUGGCGUUUUUCCCGAAGUAUAGUAAGGAAACAAGAUGUCUCCCGAAAGUUCUGUUCUGCGACGUUCGAUUCCGAGGCAUAGAAAAUGCGGAAAUAAGUCCCGAAAAACUUCGGUUCGGGAACGAAAAUUUUAGAAGAUAAGCGUAAAGUUGGCUGUUUGCUGUCUGCUUUACGACGAAAACCAAUAGCAAAAUAAGCAUGUAGAAAGCUUGCGUAUUGCUUGUUUGGACGAGGGUUCGAAUCCCUCCAACUCCACAA